UUUCACAAUGGGCGCAAGCUGAUGGAGCGACGCCGCGUGGGGGAUGAAUGGCUUCGGCCCGUAAACCCCUGUCAUUUGCGAUCAAACCUUGUUAUUUAAAAGAUGACGAGCUGAUAGUAGCGAAAGAGGAAGGGACGGCUAACUCUGUGCCAGCAGCCGCGGUAAUACAGAGGUCCCAAGCGUUGUUCGGAUUCACUGGGCGUAAAGGGUGCGUAGGUGGUGGGGUAAGUCGGAUGUGAAAUCUCCGAGCUCAACUCGGAAAUGGCAUUGGAAACUACCCUGCUAGAGGGUCGGAGGGGGGACUGGAAUGCUUGGUGUAGCAGUGAAAUGCGUAGAUAUCAAGCGGAACACCAGUGGCGAAGGCGAGUCCCUGGACGACUCCUGACACUGAGGCACGAAAGCUAGGGGAGCAAACAGGAUUAGAUACCCUGGUAGUCCUAGCCGUAAACGGUGCACGUUUGCUGUAAAAGGAAUCGACCCCUUUUGUGCGUAGCCAACGCGUUAAACGUGCCGCCUGGGAAGUACGGUCGCAAGAUCAAAACUCAAAGAAAUUGACGGGGGCCUGCACAAGCGGUGGAGUAUGUGGCUCAAUUCGAUGCAACGCGAAGAACCUUACCUGGCCUUGACAUGUACGUAGUAGAAGGGUGAAAGCCUGACGAGGUAGCAAUACCAGCGUACACAGGUGCUGCAUGGCUGUCGUCAGCUCGUGUCGUGAGAUGUUGGGUUAAGUCCCGCAACGAGCGCAACCCUUGUGUCCUGUUGCCACCCCGGCGAGAGUCGGGAGCACUCUGGACAGACUGCCUCGCUUAAACGAGGAGGAAGGUGGGGAUGACGUCAAGUCAGUAUGGCCCUUACGGCCAGGGCUGCACACGUACUACAAUGCCCGGCACAGAGGGAAGCGAGACCGUCAGGUGGAGCAAAUCCCCAAAAACCGGGCCCAGUUCAGAUUGUCGUCUGCAACUCGACGGCAUGAAGUUGGAAUCGCU
RNAcentral lists this ribosomal RNA (986 nucleotides) under uncultured Verrucomicrobiota bacterium. RNAcentral's name for it is "bacterial SSU rRNA". It matches the Rfam family "Bacterial small subunit ribosomal RNA", at positions 364 to 1336 of the family's 1533-position model. The record is from RNAcentral. Lineage: Bacteria; Pseudomonadati; Verrucomicrobiota.